Molecule: ribosomal RNA, 465 nt
Filed under: uncultured bacterium
Lineage: Bacteria
Description: partial 16S ribosomal RNA
Rfam family: Bacterial small subunit ribosomal RNA
Source: RNAcentral
GACGAACGCUGGCGGCGUGCUUAACACAUGCAAGUCGUACGGUAAGGCCCUUUCGGGGGUACACGAGUGGCGAACGGGUGAGUAACACGUGAGUAACCUGCCCACAACUUUGGGAUAACGCUAGGAAACUGGUGCUAAGACUGGAUAUGUGCUCCUGCUGCAUGGUGGGGGUUGGAAAGCUCCGGCGGUUGUGGAUGGACUCGCGGCCUAUCAGCUUGGUGGUGGGGUAGUGGCCUACCAAGGCGGCGACGGGUAGCCGGCCUGAGAGGGUGACCGGCCACAUUGGGACUGAGAUACGGCCCAGACUCCUACGGGAGGCAGCAGUGGGGAAUAUUGCACAAUGGGCGCAAGCCUGAUGCAGCAACGCCGCGUGCGGGAUGACGGCCUUCGGGUUGUAAACCGCUUUCAGCAGGGACGAAGCUUUUUGUGACGGUACCUGCAGAAGAAGCACCGGCUAACUACGUG